GUGCCAGCAGCCGCGGUAAGACGAACCGUGCGAACGUUGUUCGGAUUCACUGGGCUUAAAGGGCGCGUAGGCGGCGGCUCAAGUCGGGGGUGAAAUCGUUCCGCUUAACGGGACAAGAGCUUCCGAUACUGGGCGGCUGGAGGGAGGUAGGGGUGCGCGGAACUUCCGGUGGAGCGGUGAAAUGCGUAGAUAUCGGAAGGAACGCCGGUGGCGAAAGCGGCGCACUGGACCUCCACUGACGCUGAGGCGCGAAAGCCAGGGGAGCAAACGGGAUUAGAUACCCCAGUAGUCC
This 292-nucleotide ribosomal RNA is filed under the name uncultured bacterium. Its description in RNAcentral is "partial 16S ribosomal RNA". It matches the Rfam family "Bacterial small subunit ribosomal RNA", at positions 505 to 796 of the family's 1533-position model. The record is from RNAcentral.